CGGCGUACGGGUGAGUAACACGUGGAUAAUCUACCUGAGAGUGGGGAAUAACUUUGGGAAACCGGAGCUAAUACCGCAUAAGCCUGAGAAGGGAAAGCUUCGUAAGAGGCGCUCACAGAGGAGUCCGCGGCCGAUUAGCUAGUUGGUGAGGUAACGGCUCACCAAGGCGGGGAUCGGUAGCCGGCCUGAGAGGGCACACGGCCACACUGGCACUGAAACACGGGCCAG
This 228-nucleotide ribosomal RNA is filed under the name uncultured bacterium. Its description in RNAcentral is "partial 16S ribosomal RNA". It matches the Rfam family "Bacterial small subunit ribosomal RNA", at positions 96 to 334 of the family's 1533-position model. The record is from RNAcentral.